This 2372-nucleotide ribosomal RNA is filed under the name Salmonella enterica subsp. enterica serovar Johannesburg. RNAcentral's name for it is "partial 23S ribosomal RNA". It matches the Rfam family "Bacterial large subunit ribosomal RNA", at positions 586 to 2925 of the family's 2925-position model. The record is from RNAcentral. Lineage: Bacteria; Pseudomonadati; Pseudomonadota; Gammaproteobacteria; Enterobacterales; Enterobacteriaceae.
UGGUGGGGUGACUGCGUACCUUUUGUAUAAUGGGUCAGCGACUUAUAUUCUGUAGCAAGGUUAACCGAAUAGGGGAGCCGGAGGGAAACCGAGUCUUAAUUGGGCGUUAAGUUGCAGGGUAUAGACCCGAAACCCGGUGAUCUAGCCAUGGGCAGGUUGAAGGUUGGGUAACACUAACUGGAGGACCGAACCGACUAAUGUUGAAAAAUUAGCGGAUGACCUGUGGCUGGGGGUGAAAGGCCAAUCAAACCGGGAGAUAGCUGGUUCUCCCCGAAAGCUAUUUAGGUAGCGCCUCGUGAAUUCAUCUCCGGGGGUAGAGCACUGUUUCGGCUAGGGGGCCAUCCCGGCUUACCAACCCGAUGCAAACUGCGAAUACCGGAGAAUGUUAUCACGGGAGACACACGGCGGGUGCUAACGUCCGUCGUGAAGAGGGAAACAACCCAGACCGCCAGCUAAGGUCCCAAAGUCAUGGUUAAGUGGGAAACGAUGUGGGAAGGCCCAGACAGCCAGGAUGUUGGCUUAGAAGCAGCCAUCAUUUAAAGAAAGCGUAAUAGCUCACUGGUCGAGUCGGCCUGCGCGGAAGAUGUAACGGGGCUAAACCAUGCACCGAAGCUGCGGCAGCGACGCUGAUGCGUUGUUGGGUAGGGGAGCGUUCUGUAAGCCUGCGAAGGUGUGUCGUGAGGCAUGCUGGAGGUAUCAGAAGUGCGAAUGCUGACAUAAGUAACGAUAAAGCGGGUGAAAAGCCCGCUCGCCGGAAGACCAAGGGUUCCUGUCCAACGUUAAUCGGGGCAGGGUGAGUCGACCCCUAAGGCGAGGCCGAAAGGCGUAGUCGAUGGGAAACGGGUUAAUAUUCCCGUACUUGGUGUUACUGCGAAGGGGGGACGGAGAAGGCUAUGUUGGCCGGGCGACGGUUGUCCCGGUUUAAGCGUGUAGGUGUGUGUUCCAGGUAAAUCCGGUUCACUUUAACACUGAGGCGUGAUGACGAGGCACUACGGUGCUGAAGCAACAAAUGCCCUGCUUCCAGGAAAAGCCUCUAAGCAUCAGGUAACAUCAAAUCGUACCCCAAACCGACACAGGUGGUCAGGUAGAGAAUACCAAGGCGCUUGAGAGAACUCGGGUGAAGGAACUAGGCAAAAUGGUGCCGUAACUUCGGGAGAAGGCACGCUGACACGUAGGUGAAGUGAUUUACUCAUGGAGCUGAAGUCAGUCGAAGAUACCAGCUGGCUGCAACUGUUUAUUAAAAACACAGCACUGUGCAAACACGAAAGUGGACGUAUACGGUGUGACGCCUGCCCGGUGCCGGAAGGUUAAUUGAUGGGGUCAGCGCAAGCGAAGCUCCUGAUCGAAGCCCCGGUAAACGGCGGCCGUAACUAUAACGGUCCUAAGGUAGCGAAAUUCCUUGUCGGGUAAGUUCCGACCUGCACGAAUGGCGUAAUGAUGGCCAGGCUGUCUCCACCCGAGACUCAGUGAAAUUGAACUCGCUGUGAAGAUGCAGUGUACCCGCGGCAAGACGGAAAGACCCCGUGAACCUUUACUAUAGCUUGACACUGAACAUUGAGCCUUGAUGUGUAGGAUAGGUGGGAGGCUUUGAAGUGUGGACGCCAGUCUGCAUGGAGCCGGCCUUGAAAUACCACCCUUUAAUGUUUGAUGUUCUAACGUGGACCCGUGAUCCGGGUUGCGGACAGUGUCUGGUGGGUAGUUUGACUGGGGCGGUCUCCUCCUAAAGAGUAACGGAGGAGCACGAAGGUUGGCUAAUCCUGGUCGGACAUCAGGAGGUUAGUGCAAUGGCAUAAGCCAGCUUGACUGCGAGCGUGACGGCGCGAGCAGGUGCGAAAGCAGGUCAUAGUGAUCCGGUGGUUCUGAAUGGAAGGGCCAUCGCUCAACGGAUAAAAGGUACUCCGGGGAUAACAGGCUGAUACCGCCCAAGAGUUCAUAUCGACGGCGGUGUUUGGCACCUCGAUGUCGGCUCAUCACAUCCUGGGGCUGAAGUAGGUCCCAAGGGUAUGGCUGUUCGCCAUUUAAAGUGGUACGCGAGCUGGGUUUAGAACGUCGUGAGACAGUUCGGUCCCUAUCUGCCGUGGGCGCUGGAGAACUGAGGGGGGCUGCUCCUAGUACGAGAGGACCGGAGUGGACGCAUCACUGGUGUUCGGGUUGUCAUGCCAAUGGCACUGCCCGGUAGCUAAAUGCGGAAGAGAUAAGUGCUGAAAGCAUCUAAGCACGAAACUUGCCCCGAGAUGAGUUCUCCCUGAGACUUAGAGUCUCCUGAAGGAACGUUGAAGACGACGACGUUGAUAGGCCGGGUGUGUAAGCGCAGCGAUGCGUUGAGCUAACCGGUACUAAUGAACCGUGAGGCUUAACCUUACAACGCCGAA